GGGCGAUUAACUCAGUGGUAGAGUGCCACCUUCACACGGUGGAAGUCGCAGGUUCAAAUCCUGCAUCGCCCA
RNAcentral lists this transfer RNA (72 nucleotides) under Deltaproteobacteria bacterium. Its description in RNAcentral is "tRNA-Val". It matches the Rfam family "tRNA". Rfam says of the family: Transfer RNA (tRNA) molecules are approximately 80 nucleotides in length. Their secondary structure includes four short double-helical elements and three loops (D, anti-codon, and T loops). Lineage: Bacteria; Pseudomonadati; Myxococcota; Myxococcia. The record is from RNAcentral.